Molecule: ribosomal RNA, 470 nt
Filed under: uncultured Planctomycetota bacterium
Lineage: Bacteria; Pseudomonadati; Planctomycetota
Description: bacterial SSU rRNA
Rfam family: Bacterial small subunit ribosomal RNA
Source: RNAcentral
AAUGAACGUUGGCGGCGUGGAUUAGGCAUGCAAGUCGUGCGAGAAGUGUUUUUUGCUUGCAUUGAACACGGACAGCGGCGAAAGGGAGAGUAACGUGUGGUUACAUGCCCAGGGGUCCAGGAUAGCGUUGGGAAACUGGCGGUAAUACUGGAUGAUAUCUUUGGAUCAAAGGUGAGAUUCCGCCCUUGGAUUGGACCGCAUACUAUUAGCUUGUUGGUGAGGUAAUGGCUCACCAAGGCUGCGAUGGUUACCGGGUGUGAGAGCAUGGCCCGGCUCACUGGGACUGAGACACUGCCCAGACACCUACGGGUGGCUGCAGUCGAGAAUCUUCGGCAAUGGACGAAAGUCUGACCGAGCGACGCCGCGUGCGGGAUGAAGGCCCUCGGGUUGUAAACCGCUGUCAGUUGGAAGGAAAGCUUUGUGAAGAGCAAAGCUUGACCGAUCUUCAGAGGAAGGACGGGCUAAGUUCG